Molecule: ribosomal RNA, 492 nt
Filed under: uncultured bacterium
Lineage: Bacteria
Description: partial 16S ribosomal RNA
Rfam family: Bacterial small subunit ribosomal RNA
Source: RNAcentral
AGUGAACGCUGGCGGUAGGCCUAACACAUGCAAGUCGAACGGCAGCACAGUAAGAGCUUGCUCUUACGGGUGGCGAGUGGCGGACGGGUGAGGAAUACAUCGGAAUCUACUUUUUCGUGGGGGAUAACGUAGGGAAACUUACGCUAAUACCGCAUACGACCUACGGGUGAAAGCAGGGGAUCUUCGGACCUUGCGCGAUUGAAUGAGCCGAUGUCGGAGUAGCUAGUUGGCGGGGGAAAGGCCCACCAAGGCGACGAUCCGUAGCUGGUCUGAGAGGAUGAUCAGCCACACUGGAACUGAGACACGGUCCAGACUCCUACGGGAGGCAGCAGUGGGGAAUAUUGGACAAUGGGCGCAAGCCUGAUCCAGCCAUACCGCGUGGGUGAAGAAGGCCUUCGGGUUGUAAAGCCCUUUUGUUGGGAAAGAAAAGCAGCAGGUUAAUACCCCGCUGUUCUGACGGUACCCAAAGAAUAAGCACCGGCUAACUUCGCG